GAAAUUAACUUUGAAGUCUGGGAAGGCACCUAAGUGGCCGAUCUGUCAUUUUCCAUCUAAUAGAAAAUGGAAAUAUCAACUUGUUAUUACCUCCAAGCUUUCAACCUAGUUUCGUCCACUUUGAAUUCCAAACUUGCAACCUAAAUGUUGGAAGAAUCAGCUUGAAGCCGAUUCAAAAGGAUGUGGAUUAAGGUCAGGGAGAUAAGAGCAAGGGUGCGCAGUCUCAGAUUAAAAGGAUGACCAUCUAGAACUGAAUGGAGAAGAACCUUCUUGAUUCUGCUCUGAAUCUUUGGAAUCCCUUCCACAGAGAGCUGUAAAUGUUCAGCUGAAGGAAAAACCAACAAAAUUGGCAAAUAUGACACACCAGUUUUUACACUGCAGACAGAGGCUCAUGACAUGACGUGGUGGGUAGCACUACUGCCUCA
This is a long non-coding RNA of Stegostoma tigrinum, 425 nucleotides long. RefSeq lists it as uncharacterized. The record is from RefSeq and is a predicted model, not a curated record. Lineage: Eukaryota; Metazoa; Chordata; Chondrichthyes; Orectolobiformes; Stegostomatidae. The transcript is spliced from 4 exons.